GAGAAUAUAGAUCUCACAGCAUCCGCAAUAGGGACAGAAUACUCUGGAUUGAGAUACAAAACAUUCGCUCGCACAGGGAGAUUUGCAGGCUUGAGUACAGGAGUGACUACUCCAUCUUUGAGUAUAAACAGAUCUGACAGGGAAAGUGAUUGAGUAGUUUCUCCCUGUUUGAGGAAAGUAGCUCCGUGAUCCUCCAAGUCUUUCUCCAUCUUUUCAUACAAUCUAGACCUCUGCUCCGCAUUUGAGAUAGACCACUCUCUGGAAUUGCGAUUUGCCAUAAGGAAGAGGAGAUAAAAGGUAAGUGCAGAUAUUAACCAGAUCCAAAUCGCCGGUUUCGAAAUGGAACAAUAAUUCCUAACCCUAACCAUUACUUCAAAAUUUCAGUCCAAUAGAUCAUUAUGUUCGUUCAUUAUUUCCUCAAUAUCUCUUCGUUUUCCACAGAUCAGUUCAUCAGUUUUCUAUUUUCAGCACUUUGCCAUAGCUUAUCAUAACUUUACUCACUCCCUCACUGUUCAUUCAUUUCACCAUAGUCUAUGACUCU
Molecule: unclassified non-coding RNA, 541 nt
Filed under: Hevea brasiliensis (rubber tree)
Lineage: Eukaryota; Viridiplantae; Streptophyta; Magnoliopsida; Malpighiales; Euphorbiaceae
Source: RNAcentral